UACGUAGGGGGCUAGCGUUGUCCGGAAUCAUUGGGCGUAAAGCGCGCGUAGGCGGCCAGAUAAGUCCGGUGUGAAAGUCACAGGCUCAACCUGUGAAUGCCGCUGGAAACUGUCUGGCUAGAGUCCGGAAGGGGCGAGUGGAAUUCCUGGUGUAGCGGUGAAAUGCGCAGAUAUCAGGAGGAACACCAAUGGCGAAGGCAGCUCGCUGGAACGGUACUGACGCUGAGGCGCGAAAGCAUGGGGAGCGAACAGG
RNAcentral lists this ribosomal RNA (253 nucleotides) under uncultured bacterium. Its description in RNAcentral is "partial 16S ribosomal RNA". It matches the Rfam family "Bacterial small subunit ribosomal RNA", at positions 524 to 776 of the family's 1533-position model. The record is from RNAcentral.